ACCACGACCCACUGCCUUCCCAACCAACCCAAAUUUCGGUCUACGAUCCGUCCGAAACCUAGAAAUAGUUUCUGCCCAAGUGCAUAUGAUAUCCAACGGCCCCAACCUGAAGCACUGUAGCAUCGGAGAUCGUUGAGUACGCCAUCUAGUCCAUAAUCCACACUCCCAUUUCUUGGCUUCCUGAUCAUUAUCAACAACGUCAAGAGCCUAUCGGAGGGUCCGAUCAAGGAGAAGCACUUCAAGAAGAUUGUCGAGCUAGGAGACAUGCGGGAAGCUUGUUGAUCUUAUAGAAUCUAGGAUUUGCAAAAAGGCUUACCUUCUGGAUUACACUAAGCACACCGGCAGUAUUGCUUAAAUAAAUCAAUCGAGCAAGCAGUCUGAAGAAGACAAGUUAUAGAGUUCAUGCUGACCCAAAUAUUGGCAAGCAGUCUGAAGAAGACAAGUUACAGAGUUCAUGCUGACCCAAAUAUUGGACCAUCAGUGUGUUGCUGGUCUAAAAUUGAUGCCUAGCUGACCAACCAGAACUUGCAUCUGGAAAGCCCAAAAUAUCUUAAAAGAAAACGCCAAAUUAACCAACUAGGCUGUGCAGUCCUUAAAGAGGGUAGCUAGCCUCCAUGGCAAUGCCGCAAAUUCCUUCCUUCUC
Non-coding RNA from Corylus avellana, 643 nucleotides. The record is from RefSeq and is a predicted model, not a curated record. Lineage: Eukaryota; Viridiplantae; Streptophyta; Magnoliopsida; Fagales; Betulaceae.